This 301-nucleotide ribosomal RNA is filed under the name uncultured bacterium. RNAcentral's name for it is "partial 16S ribosomal RNA". It matches the Rfam family "Bacterial small subunit ribosomal RNA", at positions 509 to 809 of the family's 1533-position model. The record is from RNAcentral.
CAGUCGCCGCGGGAAUACGAAGGGUGCAAGCGUUACUCGGAAUUACUGGGCGUAAAGCGUGCGUAGGUGGUGGUUUAAGUCCGUUGUGAAAGCCCUGGGCUCAACCUGGGAAUUGCAGUGGAUACUGGGUCACUAGAGUGUGGUAGAGGAUAGUGGAAUUUCCGGUGUAGCAGUGAAAUGCGUAGAGAUCGGAAGGAACAUCUGUGGCGAAGGCGACUAUCUGGGCCAACACUGACGCUGAGGCACGAAAGCGUGGGGAUCAAACAGGAUUAGAUACCCCCGUAGUCCCUGUCUCUUAUAU